RNAcentral lists this ribosomal RNA (451 nucleotides) under uncultured bacterium. Its description in RNAcentral is "partial 16S ribosomal RNA". It matches the Rfam family "Bacterial small subunit ribosomal RNA", at positions 28 to 507 of the family's 1533-position model. The record is from RNAcentral.
GAUGAAUGCUGGCGGCGUGCCUAACACAUGCAAGUCGAGCGGCAGCGCGGGGUGCUUGCACCCUGUCGGCGAGCGGCGAACGGCUGAGUAACGCGUAGGAAUUUGCCCCAAAGUGAGGAAUAACUGCCCGAAAGGGUAGCUAAUGCCGCAUAUGGUCUUCGGAUUAAAGGAUUUAUCCGCUUUGGGAGAAGCCUGCGUUGGAUUAGGUUGUUGGUAGGGUAAUGGCCUACCAAGCCGACGAUCCAUAGCUGGUCUGAGAGGAUGAUCAGCCAGACUGGAACUGAGACACGGUCCAGACUCCUACGGGAGGCAGCAGUGAGGAAUCUUCCACAAUGGGCGAAAGCCUGAUGGAGCAACGCCGCGCGAAGGAUGAAGGCCUUCGGGUUGUAAACUUCUUUUAUGAGUGAAGAAUAUGACGGUAACUCAUGAAUAAGCACCGGCUAACUACGUG